GUCCAGGGGUGGGAAUCGAACCCACAACCUUCUGCUUACCAGGCAGGUGCCAUGUCCACUAGGCUACCCUGGA
Molecule: transfer RNA, 73 nt
Filed under: Cordylochernes scorpioides
Lineage: Eukaryota; Metazoa; Arthropoda; Arachnida; Pseudoscorpiones; Chernetidae
Description: tRNA-Thr
Source: RNAcentral